This 71-nucleotide transfer RNA is filed under the name Camelus bactrianus (Bactrian camel). It matches the Rfam family "tRNA". From Rfam's summary of the family: Transfer RNA (tRNA) molecules are approximately 80 nucleotides in length. RNAcentral also lists the same sequence under 2 other names. The record is from Rfam by way of RNAcentral. Lineage: Eukaryota; Metazoa; Chordata; Mammalia; Artiodactyla; Camelidae.
GAAGGUAUAGCUCAGUGGUAGAGCGCACGCUUAGCAUGCAUGGGUCCUGCGUUCUAUCUCCAAUACCUCCA